GUGAAUCAUCAAAUUUUUGAACGCAAAUUGCGCUUCCUGGCAUCCCUGUAAGUAUGCCUGGUUGAGGACCAGUAAUAAUAAAAAUGCUGUUUAGUUGCAAAUUUUGACGUUUUCGGUGUUUGGACUAUCUUAACGGUUUUUGGUAAGAGGCUUAAAAUUUACCUUUUUUGCGCUUUUUUGAACGUACAUAAUUUUUUUUUAUUCGUCUAUUCUUAAUGCCAAAAUCUUAUUAGAUGCGAUCACAUCUGGUGGCUUCGUGUCCAUAAAAUUUUCAUGAUUUUACCUCAAAUCAGU
Molecule: unclassified non-coding RNA, 294 nt
Filed under: Glomeraceae sp.
Lineage: Eukaryota; Fungi; Glomeromycota; Glomeromycetes; Glomerales; Glomeraceae
Description: partial internal transcribed spacer 2
Rfam family: 5.8S ribosomal RNA (bases 1-71)
Source: RNAcentral